GAUUCCUGGAUGAUGCCUCGGUACUAUCGCGGUUGAUCCAGCUCCGACGGAUUCCUGAGAACAGACGAUGGAUUAUUGCACACGGAUGAAUACUGACAUACCCGAACCACACUUCCCGACACAAUUCCCCGGGCCAAUGUUCACACCGAUCUUUUGUAUCCAGAAUUUAGUUGGACUCUGCGAGGUUAUUUUCCAAACGUUGAUAUAUUGCUAUGCAGGGA
Neodiprion fabricii is the source of this 221-nucleotide long non-coding RNA. RefSeq lists it as uncharacterized. The transcript is spliced from 2 exons. NCBI's taxonomy places the organism in Eukaryota, Metazoa, Arthropoda, Insecta, Hymenoptera, Diprionidae. The record is from RefSeq and is a predicted model, not a curated record.